RNAcentral lists this ribosomal RNA (496 nucleotides) under uncultured bacterium. RNAcentral describes it as "partial 16S ribosomal RNA". It matches the Rfam family "Bacterial small subunit ribosomal RNA", at positions 28 to 507 of the family's 1533-position model. The record is from RNAcentral.
GAUGAACGCUGCGGCGUGCCUAAUACAUGCAAGUCGAGCGAACAGAUGAGGAGCUUGCUCCUCUGACGUUAGCGGCGGACGGGUGAGUAACACGUGGAUAACCUACCUAUAAGACUGGGAUAACUUCGGGAAACCGGAGCUAAUACCGGAUAAUAUAUUGAACCGCAUGGUUCAAUAGUGAAAGACGGUUUUGCUGUCACUUAUAGAUGGAUCCGCGCCGCAUUAGCUAGUUGGUAAGGUAACGGCUUACCAAGGCAACGAUGCGUAGCCGACCUGAGAGGGUGAUCGGCCACACUGGAACUGAGACACGGUCCAGACUCCUACGGGAGGCAGCAGUAGGGAAUCUUCCGCAAUGGGCGAAAGCCUGACGGAGCAACGCCGCGUGAGUGAUGAAGGUCUUCGGAUCGUAAAACUCUGUUAUUAGGGAAGAACAAAUGUGUAAGUAACUAUGCACGUCUUGACGGUACCUAAUCAGAAAGCCACGGCUAACUACGUG